GACGAACGCUGGCGGCGUGCCUAACACAUGCAAGUCGAACGGAGUGUUGCGCUGAUUUGAAGGUAGCUUGCUACUGAAUUUUCUUGUAACACUUAGUGGCGGACGGGUGAGUAACGCGUGAGUAACCUGCCUUACAGAGGGGGACAACAGUUGGAAACGACUGCUAAUACCGCAUAACAUAUUUUGAGGGCAUCCUCGGAAUAUCAAAGGAGCAAUCCGCUGUAAGAUGGACUCGCGUCCAAUUAGAUAGUUGGUGGGGUAACGGCCCACCAAGUCGACGAUUGGUAGCCGGACUGAGAGGUUGAACGGCCACAUUGGGACUGAGACACGGCCCAGACUCCUACGGGAGGCAGCAGUGGGGGAUAUUGCACAAUGGAGGAAACUCUGAUGCAGCAACGCCGCGUGAGGGAAGAAGGUUUUCGGAUUGUAAACCUCUGUUUUUAGUGUAAGAAACAAAUGACGGUAGCUAAAGAGGAAGCCACGGCUAACACGUGCCAGCAGCCGACGG
RNAcentral lists this ribosomal RNA (508 nucleotides) under uncultured bacterium. RNAcentral's name for it is "bacterial SSU rRNA". It matches the Rfam family "Bacterial small subunit ribosomal RNA", at positions 28 to 520 of the family's 1533-position model. The record is from RNAcentral.